This 485-nucleotide ribosomal RNA is filed under the name uncultured bacterium. RNAcentral's name for it is "bacterial SSU rRNA". It matches the Rfam family "Bacterial small subunit ribosomal RNA", at positions 28 to 511 of the family's 1533-position model. The record is from RNAcentral.
GAUGAACGCUAGCGGCAGGCCUAACACAUGCAAGUCGAGGGGUAGAGUUAGCUUGCUAACUUGAGACCGGCGCACGGGUGCGUAACGCGUAUGCAAUCUACCUUAUACAGAGGGAUAGCCCAGAGAAAUUUGGAUUAAUACCUCAUAGUAUUAUCGAGUGGCAUCAUUUGAUAAUUAAAGUUCCAACGGUAUAAGAUGAGCAUGCGUCCCAUUAGUUAGUUGGUAAGGUAACGGCUUACCAAGACUAUGAUGGGUAGGGGUCCUGAGAGGGAGAUCCCCCCACACUGGUACUGAGACACGGACCAGACUCCUACGGGAGGCAGCAGUGAGGAAUAUUGGACAAUGGGCGCAAGCCUGAUCCAGCCAUGCCGCGUGCAGGAAGACGGUCCUAUGGAUUGUAAACUGCUUUUAUACAGGAAGAAACAUCUCUACGUGUAGAGACUUGACGGUACUGUAAGAAUAAGGAUCGGCUAACUCCGUGCCAG